GAAAUGCGAUAAUUAAUGUGAAUUGCAGAAUUCAGUGAAUCAUCGAGUCUUUGAACGCACAUUGCGCCCCCUGGUAUUCCGGGGGGCAUGCCUGUCCGAGCGUCAUUGCUGCCCUCAAGCACGGCUUGUGUGUUGGGCUUCCGUCCCUGGCAACGGGGACGGGCCCAAAAGGCAGUGGCGGCACCAUGUCUGGUCCUCGAGCGUAUGGGGCUUUGUCACCCGCUCCCGUAGGUCCAGCUGGCAGCUAGCCUCGCAACCAAUCAUUUUAACCAGGUUGACCUCGGAUCAGGUAGGGAUACCCUCUGAACUUAAGC
This 314-nucleotide unclassified non-coding RNA is filed under the name plant metagenome. Its description in RNAcentral is "partial contains 5.8S ribosomal RNA, internal transcribed spacer 2, and large subunit ribosomal RNA". The stretch from base 1 to 105 matches the Rfam family "5.8S ribosomal RNA", at positions 50 to 154 of the family's 154-position model. The record is from RNAcentral.